CACUCCUGCGGGAGGCAGCAGUGGGGAAUUUUGGACAAUGGGCGAAAGCCUGAUCCAGCAAUGCCGCGUGAGUGAAGAAGGCCUUCGGGUUGUAAAGCUCUUUUGUCAGGGAAGAAACGGUGAAAGCUAAUAUCUUUUGCUAAUGACGGUACCUGAAGAAUAAGCACCGGCUAACUACGUGCCAGCAGCCGCGGUAAUACGUAGGGUGCAAGCGUUAAUCGGAAUUACUGGGCGUAAAGCGUGCGCAGGCGGUUUUGUAAGUCUGAUGUGAAAUCCCCGGGCUCAACCUGGGAAUUGCAUUGGAGACUGCAAGGCUAGAAUCUGGCAGAGGGGGGUAGAAUUCCACGUGUAGCAGUGAAAUGCGUAGAUAUGUGGAGGAACACCGAUGGCGAAGGCAGCCCCCUGGGUCAAGAUUGACGCUCAUGCACGAAAGCGUGGGGAGCAAACAGGAUUAGAAACCCGUGUAGUCCCA
This 472-nucleotide ribosomal RNA is filed under the name uncultured organism. Its description in RNAcentral is "partial 16S ribosomal RNA". It matches the Rfam family "Bacterial small subunit ribosomal RNA", at positions 334 to 797 of the family's 1533-position model. The record is from RNAcentral.